CUGCACAAAAGCUCCUUUUGUAUCUGCAAUGCACCGGUAGAGCUCUCCAUUGCGAUAUCUAUCAGUUUGAGCUGCUAUCCAUCUGAUCUGACCCUUAAGUUGGUAUUUCGCUAUCAAAGCAUGCAUCUUGUUUAUCUCUGCGAUUUCUUCUCUAUCUUUUGAUUUAGAUGGAUCAAAGAAUCCAGCUACAACGACAAGAUUUACCAAGUUUCUAAGCCUUUUAUUCUGUCCAUACCACUCAGUUAAUCCUGUAAUGUUUUUCACUGUAUCAAGUCUUGCCAUGGAGAAGAUAAUUGGUUUCUUCCUGUCUGCAAGAUAUCCAAUGUGUUCAUUAUUGUCCUCCUUGUUGUAGAGUAGUUCUUCAAUGGCAGGAUAAAAAGAAGUUAACCGCCUUCGUUUCUCUGUAUAGGGAAAGUAGACCGAUUGGUCAGCCCCAGGGGCAGCAAUGUUGAACUUUGGAUCAAAGACAUUGAUGCCUGAGACAACCCGGCAAAGUCCUGGCAUAGUAAAUGUCUCAUGGCUUUCAUACUGUCCAGGCCUAUCCUUGCUUCCUGCAAUUUCUUGGUAUGUGCUGGUUAUGAUAAAAUCAGCUGUGUUCAUUGCAAUCAUGUCAGCUGUGAAUUGACAGGAGAAGUGGUACUUGGGAUCUAAUUGUUUCCAUUUGGCAUCUGAAUCUUCAUACUUGGUUUUCUCUAAAGCAUGAGCUAUAGUUCCCAGAGUUAUGCCAAGUCUGUUUGCCAUCAGAGAUGCCACCAAGUUUCCAUCACUGUAAUUCCCAAUAAUGAGAUCUGGUUUACAUUCCAUGUGUUCAAGAACCUUAUCAGCAGCAUCCUGGGCAAAUUUUUCAAGAUAAGGAUAGACAUCGAAACGGGAGACCCAUUGGGGAAGAACCCCUUUCUCUGUCAUGAAUGGGACUCUAAGAAUGUUAGAGUGCUUUGUGUCAAUGAUAGGUUCCAUCUCCUGGUUGCACUUGGUUCCUCGAGCAUCUGGUAUAAGUCGCGUUAUCACAAGAAUCUGAGGCUUCAUAUUAAGGCCUUGCUGCUUGAUUCUGAGCAGCAGCUCUUCUUCUAAUGCUCUUACUUGAUCAAGAAUGUAAACCACCUGGCCACCAGUGUCUGGCAAUCCAAGGACAUCUGCCUGGCCAAAAUAGCCAUGUGGAGAGAAAAUUACAAUGUUGAACAUGUUAGGAAGCCUGCCAAAGAACAAUUCUAGUUUUGCUGGUUCUUGUGCUUGAAGUGAUUCAGAAAGCAUUCUCAUGGUCUCUUUAACUCUUUCUGCAGUAUUCCCCCAUCCCUUCUCAAAUCCUAACUCUUUCAGGCUAUGUUGAAAAUCCUGAUACGGUGUGUGUUUUGGAAAUGCAGAGAGAACAUCUUCAGCUCCAAGGAGUGCCACCUGAAGCUUGGCAACUGUAUCCAGCUUUUCAUUGAUCAUAAGAUUCUCUCCCUGAUAGUCAAGGGCUAGUAAAUAGUCAAGCAGAGGCUUUGCACUACCAGAGCUCCCAUUAAGCUUUGAGGACAUGAAUUUUGAGAUGUAUUUCAUCCCAUUCCCAAUAGAAGAAGAAAGGGUCAAGCGAGGAGUUGAGAAAUCUAUGGCUCCAAAAUCUAUUUCCAGAGCAUUUUCAUCGCUGGCCCAGUUUUCGUCAAAGAUCAUUUCUUUGAACUGCAAGUAUUCUGAUGCAGAGAUGCCAUCAACACUCAGAUCUUCAGCAUUCACUUUAACGUAUUCCCAGAAUCCAGGAUUUGGCCUUACAGCAAAAGCAACAUAAGGUGGAAUAACAGCUGCCUCCUGAGUGGCACUCAUGAUGUAACCAAGUAAGCCUUCCAAGACCCUUUUCCUUUCAACCUUGUCUUGUAUCGAUUUCUCCAUUUCAUCCAUUAUAUGUUGGCGUUUCAAAAGUUUUUUCCCAGUUGCAACAAAGCUGGAAAAGCAUAUCUUCAUGUGAUAGCGGCUCUGCCUCAACGCAUCGGGCAUACUUUCUGCAAUCGUUUCAGAACGCUUGAGAACUGGUCCGGAAGCCAUUUCAACCAAAUAUAACACAAGAUGCUUUAAGAAACAGAAAGAUUUUGGAUUCACAAUGUAGUUUUGU
RNAcentral lists this unclassified non-coding RNA (2086 nucleotides) under Hevea brasiliensis (rubber tree). The record is from RNAcentral. Lineage: Eukaryota; Viridiplantae; Streptophyta; Magnoliopsida; Malpighiales; Euphorbiaceae.